ACCCUCCAGAUCCUUUACUCCUCAGACCUAAACACUGGUCUGGGCGGCUACAAAAGGAGAGAAGGUAACACGGGAACAGACUUCAAUUCUUUUGUGACACACGAGCUAGUUAUCACACAAAA
RNAcentral lists this small nucleolar RNA (122 nucleotides) under Echinops telfairi (small Madagascar hedgehog). RNAcentral describes it as "Small nucleolar RNA SNORA61 (ENSETEG00000024523.1)". Lineage: Eukaryota; Metazoa; Chordata; Mammalia; Afrosoricida; Tenrecidae. The record is from RNAcentral.